CAAGUUUCACUAAACCUACUUUCCUAAUUGAACGUCCAUGGAAACUCUAACAAGAAUUGGUUCAAGCAUCUGAUUUUUACAGUUUGACUUCGCUAAGAUUCUCCUGCUCUCUAACAAAACCUAAUACUCACUCCAGAAUAACAGAGUUUUGUAACAAAAAAAGGCCUGAACCAGUUGAGUCCACCACCCUAUGAAAUAUCACAAGAAAUCUGAUGCUUUGAACAUUUAAGAAAUCAGCAGCCAAUUGGAAAGGUAAGUACUAUUGGAACAUCUUCCGAUACUGCUUUUUCUCCUGAUCACGCCUAUCGUUAAUCUUCUUCCUAGCAGCUGCAAGCUCCUUUUUUAUUCCAGCAUCAUUUGGCUCCAACUGCACGGCCUUCUUGAAGCUUUCAACAGCAGCAUCAAUGUCAUUAAGAGCCAUGUGUGCCUGUCCCUGCCGAAAUAAAGCUUUCACAUUGUUAUCUCCUUCACGCAUUGCAAAAUCUGUGUCCAACAAUGCUCCUUUCAGAUCUCCCAAUUUUAACUUGCAAGCAGCGCUGUUUGUGAAUAUCUGUGACUUUGUCUUUCUCAGAGAGGAGCUCUUUUCUUCAUCAAUCCCAUCUUUCUCCCAGCAGAUAUCCAGAUAACGUAAAGCCUUGCGAUAUUUUCUGAGUGCCAUCUUAUAGUCUUGUUUCUUGUAGUGUUCAUUUCCAAAAGCCUUGAUAGAAUCCACAGCAUCCAUCCACCAAGAAAGUUCAUUAGGACUCUCACUAAGGUCUGCUGGCCAAUCAGGAUAAAUAUCACCAUCCUUAAAGAAAUUAGAUAUUCCAUCAUCUGCCCCUGCAGGAAUCUCCCCACAAUCCGCAAUUAUAACAUCAACAGUAGGACAGUCACCAUCACCAGUGUUGACGUGCUCAAUUGAACGAACAACUCCCAUUCCUUUAACAACCUUCCCAAAUACAACAUGUUUCCCAUCCAAAUGAGAUGUACGAGUUGUUGUUAUGAAGAAUUGUGAUCCAUUUGUAUUGGCACCAGCAUUGGCCACAGAUAGCAUGCCUUUCCUUUCAUGUUUCAGUUCAAAAUUCUCAUCGUCAAAUUUCAAGCCAUAAAUAGAUUCACCACCGGUACCAUCUCCUGCUGAGAUAUCCCCACCUUGCACCAUAAAACCUUUGAUGACUCGAUGAAAUCGACAUCCCUUGUAAUGGAGGGGGACACCAGUGUGAGGCCCAAUGCCUUUCUCGCCGGUGCAAAGAGCUCUGAAAUUCUCAGCAGUUUUAGGCACGACGUCGUUAUAGAGCUCCACCACAAUCCUCCCUUCGAGCUCUCCUCCUAUGCUGAUAUCCAAGUAACACCUUGGCUUCUCCAUCCUU
This 1349-nucleotide unclassified non-coding RNA is filed under the name Hevea brasiliensis (rubber tree). The record is from RNAcentral. Lineage: Eukaryota; Viridiplantae; Streptophyta; Magnoliopsida; Malpighiales; Euphorbiaceae.